GACGAACCGUGCGAACGUUGUUCGGAUUCACUGGGCUUAAAGGGCGCGUAGGCGGUCGACCAAGUCUGGGGUGAAAUCUUUCGGCUUAACCGGAAAAGUGCCCCCGAUACUGGCCGGCUAGAGGGAGAUAGGGGCAUGUGGAACUUCCGGUGGAGCGGUGAAAUGCGUAGAUAUCGGAAGGAACGCCGGUGGCGAAAGCGACGUGCUGGAUCUCUGCUGACGCUGAGGCGCGAAAGCCAGGGGAGCAAACGGG
RNAcentral lists this ribosomal RNA (253 nucleotides) under uncultured bacterium. Its description in RNAcentral is "partial 16S ribosomal RNA". It matches the Rfam family "Bacterial small subunit ribosomal RNA", at positions 524 to 776 of the family's 1533-position model. The record is from RNAcentral.